AGGCAGCAUGGGGAAGUAUUGCACAAUGGGGGAAACCCGUACGAUGCAGCCAUGCCGCGUGUGUGAAGAAGGCCUUCGGGUUGUAAAGCACUUUCAGUAGGGAGGAAGGUAGUGUAGUUAACACCUGCAUUAUUUGACGUUACCUACAGAAGAAGCACCGGCUAACUCCGUGCCAGCAGCCGCGGUAAUACGGAGGGUGCGAGCGUUAAUCGGAAUUACUGGGCGUAAAGCGCAUGCAGGCGGCCUGUUAAGUCAGAUGUGAAAGCCCGGGGCUUAACCUCGGAAUUGCAUUUGAAACUGGCAGGCUAGAGUCUUGUAGAGGGGGGUAGGAAUUUCAGGUGUAGCGGUGAAAUGCGUAGAGAUCUGAAGGAAUACCAGUGGCGAAGGCGGCCCCCUGGACAAAGACUGACGCUCAGAUGCGAAAGCGUGGGGAGCAAACAGGAUUAGAUACCCUGGUAG
This 459-nucleotide ribosomal RNA is filed under the name uncultured bacterium. RNAcentral describes it as "bacterial SSU rRNA". It matches the Rfam family "Bacterial small subunit ribosomal RNA", at positions 346 to 793 of the family's 1533-position model. The record is from RNAcentral.